AAAGCUUUAAGUUAAAUAAACUAUUAACCUUCAAAGUUAAAAAUAUAAUAUAUUGUAAGCUUUA
Molecule: transfer RNA, 64 nt
Filed under: Metatropis longirostris
Lineage: Eukaryota; Metazoa; Arthropoda; Insecta; Hemiptera; Berytidae
Also listed under: 1 other name
Description: tRNA-Trp
Source: RNAcentral